This 562-nucleotide ribosomal RNA is filed under the name uncultured Bifidobacterium sp. RNAcentral's name for it is "bacterial SSU rRNA". It matches the Rfam family "Bacterial small subunit ribosomal RNA", at positions 147 to 710 of the family's 1533-position model. The record is from RNAcentral. Lineage: Bacteria; Bacillati; Actinomycetota; Actinomycetes; Bifidobacteriales; Bifidobacteriaceae.
CUCCUGGAAACGGGUGGCAAUGCCGGAUGUUCCACAUGAGCGCAUGCGAGUGUGGGAAAGGCUUUUUGCGGCAUGGGAUGGGGUCGCGUCCUAUCAGCUUGUUGGUGGGGUAACGGCCUACCAAGGCGUUGACGGGUAGCCGGCCUGAGAGGGCGACCGGCCACAUUGGGACUGAGAUACGGCCCAGACUCCUACGGGAGGCAGCAGUGGGGAAUAUUGCACAAUGGGCGCAAGCCUGAUGCAGCGACGCCGCGUGCGGGAUGGAGGCCUUCGGGUUGUAAACCGCUUUUGUUCAAGGGCAAGGCACGGUUUCGGCCGUGUUGAGUGGAUUGUUCGAAUAAGCACCGGCUAACUACGUGCCAGCAGCCGCGGUAAUACGUAGGGUGCAAGCGUUAUCCGGAUUUAUUGGGCGUAAAGGGCUCGUAGGCGGUUCGUCGCGUCCGGUGUGAAAGUCCAUCGCUUAACGGUGGAUCCGCGCCGGGUACGGGCGGGCUUGAGUGCGGUAGGGGAGACUGGAAUUCCCGGUGUAACGGUGGAAUGUGUAGAUAUCGGGAAGAACACC